RNAcentral lists this unclassified non-coding RNA (339 nucleotides) under soil metagenome. RNAcentral's name for it is "partial contains 5.8S ribosomal RNA, internal transcribed spacer 2, and large subunit ribosomal RNA". The stretch from base 1 to 120 matches the Rfam family "5.8S ribosomal RNA", at positions 35 to 154 of the family's 154-position model. The record is from RNAcentral.
GAUGAAGAACGUAGCGAAAUGCGAUAACUAAUGUGAAUUGCAGAAUUCAGUGAAUCAUCGAGUCUUUGAACGCACAUUGCGCCCCCUGGUAUUCCGGGGGGCAUGCCUGUCCGAGCGUCAUUGCUGCCCUCAAGCACGGCUUGUGUGUUGGGCUCCGUCCCCCCGGGGACGGGCCCGAAAGGCAGCGGCGGCACCGAGUCCGGUCCUCGAGCGUAUGGGGCUUUGUCACCCGCUCUGUAGGCCCGGCCGGCGCCAGCCGACAACCCAUCAUCCUUUUCAGGUUGACCUCAAAUCAGGUAGGACUACCCGCUGAACUUAAGCAUAUCAAUAAGCGGAGGA